Molecule: ribosomal RNA, 467 nt
Filed under: uncultured bacterium
Lineage: Bacteria
Description: partial 16S ribosomal RNA
Rfam family: Bacterial small subunit ribosomal RNA
Source: RNAcentral
UUCCAGACUCCUACGGGAGGCAGCAGUGAGGAAUAUUGGUCAAUGGGCGGAAGCCUGAACCAGCCAAGUCGCGUGAGGGAAUAAGGCCCUACGGGUCGUAAACCUCUUUUGCCGGGGAGCAAGGGCGGGGACGUGUCCCGGCCCGGAGAGUACCCGGAGAAUAAGCAUCGGCUAACUCCGUGCCAGCAGCCGCGGUAAUACGGAGGAUGCGAGCGUUAUCCGGAUUUAUUGGGUUUAAAGGGUGCGUAGGCGGAUUUUUAAGUCAGCGGUAAAAUGUCCGGGCUCAACCCGGGCCGGCCGUUGAAACUGGGGAUCUUGAGUGGGCGAGAAGUAUGCGGAAUGCGUGGUGUAGCGGUGAAAUGCAUAGAUAUCACGCAGAACUCCGAUUGCGAAGGCAGCAUACCGGCGCCCGACUGACGCUGAGGCACGAAAGCGUGGGGAUCGAACAGGAUUAGAUACCCGAGUAC